Molecule: long non-coding RNA, 277 nt
Filed under: Gallus gallus (chicken)
Lineage: Eukaryota; Metazoa; Chordata; Aves; Galliformes; Phasianidae
Source: RNAcentral
GGCUCAGCUCCGAUAUGGGGGGGGUCCGAACCGAUAUAGAGGGCGGGGGGGGGAGGAUCCACUUCUUCGAUUGGAUGGGGGGGGGGCGGCGUUUGAUGGCGGGGGGGCCCCGCGUCCGCUCCCUUAGGGCCGUGGCGACGGCGUGCGCUCAUUGGGGCGCAUUGCCUGCGGGGCUCCGUCCGCCGCUGCUCGGGACUCCGCUGACGUCACUGCCACGUCCCGGCGCGCCGCGUGACGUCAUCUCCGCGCGACGACCCGCGAGCACCGCCCCCUGCUC